AAUUAUUAUGACAUAAAUGACUAUGACCCGAUUCAAGUUAUAAGGGGCAACAUUGGAACAAAAAUAAAUAAAAAGAUUACAUCAGAAAAUAUUUAAAAAGAAAUGUAAUCAUAUGUGGCACAAAAGUCAAAGGACUUAGAUCAAAGUCACUAAAUUUGAUGAUUAAACCCAACUCCUCAAUGAAAAUUUGGAUCUAUAUCAACUUUUCUUUAAAAUCUUUGAUGACCUCUCCAUUCUCCUUCUGUUUUGCAAGUACAAGAAUUGUAGCAACCAUCAUAAUUACGCCAAAAUAUCAUGUUUGCAAAUUCACUCACCACCCUGAUUGCUGGACUGGCAAUUGAGGAAGAACGCCGCAAAAACAAUACUCUCUUUCCCAAAGUUUUAACUCUAGUCCAAUCUUUUCGUGAUGAAUAUGAAAUUGGUAGUUAGGUGACGAUGGGUAAAUUUAAAUGCUAUUCAAGCAAACACAAUGAUUUCACACACUUUAAACCUUGACCAAAUAUACUUAUGACUAGUCAACUGCUAGUCAUGAUAAACCAUAACGAAGAACACACACAAAGAGCAUAACAAUAUGUACCUGCAAGCCUAGAAAAUUACUAGUGACAACCUAGGCACUCA
Molecule: long non-coding RNA, 618 nt
Filed under: Prunus dulcis (almond)
Lineage: Eukaryota; Viridiplantae; Streptophyta; Magnoliopsida; Rosales; Rosaceae
Description: sRNA ncRNA
Source: RNAcentral